GAACCAGUUAUGACAGUUGUUCUCCAAACUUUUGCUUAUUCUAAUUUGAUUUUGUCUUUUUAGCCUGUUCCAGUUUUGCCGACUUUAACAAUGGGCUUGGUGUAUAUUUUUCUUUUCCUAACUUCAACCACGUACUUACACUUUUCCUUUUUGGUAAGCAAAUCUAAAUCUAGAGUGAUCAUCCGAUAGUCUUGAUUGCGAUUUGCGAUGCUUAUGAGUUCUCUAGUAAAUACCGGGGAGGGGAGAGAGAGAGAGAUUCUUUUUUGCUUUAAUAAAAAAAAAAAAAAAUAAGAAAAGCGUCGGUUAGCUUGUUCUUUGGCAGAAUUAAAGCAAAAGGAAAGCGGCUAGUGUCGAGUGAGAGGAAAAAGAGAGAAAUGGAUCAAAGUUGGCUUCUCUAAUUCUUUUCUUGAUGUUGGAGAAACUGAAAGACAGUUGCCCCACUCGAGCAAAAAAGAAUAAUCCUCUCUCUCUCUCUCAAUCAGCCUCUAACAAAAUGAGGACUUCCCCUCUGUUUCCCAUUUCGCCAAAAGCUCUGUCAUCCGCUUAUCAGCUGAAACCGAGCUCAACCAGGAGGAAAGAAGAAGAAGAACAACAGGGACGACUCUACGGAUGGCUACUCCGCCAGAGAUGGCGAGUACCAGUGGAACAAAGAAUGAUGGGUUGCCAAGAGCCAUCUCUCGGAAGAUGACGAGGUUGACUACAAUGGUCGAGACUCCAGAGGAUGAAAUUGCACUCGUUCCGCCGUCCCUCUCUGCGAUUGUGCCGAUUCUUCGCGUUGCCAAUGAGAUUGAGGCUGAAAAUCCGAGGGUUGCCUACCUCUGUCGCUUUCAUGCAUUUGAGAAGACUCACAAAAUGGAUUCUAAGUCAACUGGACGUGGUGUUCGUCAGUUCAAGACCUACUUGCUACAUAGGCUAGAAAAGGAAGAAGAGGAGACAAGUUAUCUAGCAAAAAAUGAUCCAAAGGAAUUACAGAGAUUCUAUCAAAAGUUCUAUGAAGAGAGAGUCAAAAAGGACCAACAUAAAAGACAACCUGCGGAGAUGGCCAAGAUCUAUCAGAUUGCUACAGUGUUGAAUGAUGUACUGAGAACAGUUUUACCUCUAGAGAAGGCUGAAGAUCUGAUAAACAGAUAUGGCAAAGAAGUUGAAAUGAAGAAGGAGCAUUAUGCACCUUAUAACAUUCUUCCCUUGUAUGCAAUUGGCACUAAACCAGCUAUUAUGGAAUUUCCUGAGAUCAAAGCAGCACUCAAUGCUUUACGUAAGGUGGAUCAUCUUCCCAAGCCAAGUGUUCAGUCACCAUCUAAUGAUGCAGAGGACAGAGAUAAAUCUAUCAAUGAUUUGCUUGACUGGCUUUCGUUAUAUUUUGGGUUUCAGAAAGGAAAUGUGGCAAACCAGAGGGAACACUUGAUAUUGCUACUUGCAAAUAUUGCAUUAAGGACUAAAGCCCAGCUGGAUGAUGCCACCGUACAACAUUUGUUGGAUAAGAUCUUCAAAAAUUAUCGGUCAUGGUGUAAUUACGUUCAUCGUGAAUCAAACCUCAAGUUUCCAAAGGAUACUGGCAAGCAACAGUUACAGCUUCUCUACAUUGGACUGUAUCUUCUUAUUUGGGGUGAAGCUUCAAAUAUUCGGUUCAUGCCGGAAUGUAUUUGCUAUAUAUUCCAUCAUAUGGCACAUGAAUUAUGUGGAGUUUUGCAUAGCAAUGUGCAUGAGGUCAGCGGAGGUACAUUCCGAUCAACACUCCAGGGUGAAGAGGCAUUUCUGCGGAAGGUUGUAAUGCCCAUCUAUCAGGUUAUGCGCAAGGAAGCCAGGAAGAACAAAGCUGGCAGCAGUCACUCAAAUUGGAGGAACUAUGAUGAUCUAAAUGAAUAUUUUUGGUCAGACAAGUGUUUUAAGCUUGGGUGGCCAAUGGACCUUAAAGCUGAUUUUUUUGUGCGUUCAGAUGAGCCACAAACUAGAAAUGAGCGACCGAAUUCUUUCGUUGCUGAAAAGAGGAAGCCCAAGACAAAUUUUGUUGAAGUUCGUACCUUUUGGCACCUUUUCAGAAGUUUUGAUCGAAUGUGGAUAUUCUUUAUAUUAGCUUUCCAGGCGAUGCUAAUUAUUGCUUGGAAUCCUUCUGGGUCUCUUGCUGCUUUCUUUGAUGAGGAUGUAUUUAAAAGAGUAUUGAGUAUUUUUAUAACUUCUGCUUUGCUCAAUUUCUUACAAGCUACUCUGGACAUAAUUCUUAAUUGGAAAGCUUGGGGAAGUUUGAAGUUUACCCAAAUUGCUCGGUACCUUCUGAAAUUUAUAGUUGCAGCUGUCUGGGUAGUAGUGCUGCCAAUAGGCUAUUCUAGCUCUGUGCAAAAUCCCACAGGACUAGUAAGAUUUUUCAGUGAUUGGGUUGGUAAUUGGCAAAACCAGUCAUUUUAUAACUAUGCUAUUGUGAUAUAUGCCAUUCCCAAUAUAUUGGCUGCACUACUGUUCAUGUUUCCAUUUUUACGGAGAUCCAUGGAGCGUUCAAGUUCGCGGAUUAUUGCUUUUCUUAUGUGGUGGGCCCAGCCAAAACUGUAUGUGGGAAGAGGCAUGCAUGAGGACGUAUUCUCACUUCUCCGAUAUACUCUAUUCUGGAUCCUUCUUCUAAUCAGCAAGUUAGCAUUCAGCUAUUAUGUUGAGAUAUUCCCUUUAGUUGAACCAACAAAGCUGAUCAUGGAGAUAGGAGUGAGUAGUUAUACCUGGCAUGAGUUCUUUCCCAAUGUAAAGCAUAAUAUUGGUGUUGUCAUUUCCAUAUGGGCACCUGUUGUUUUGGUGUAUUUCAUGGAUGCACAGAUAUGGUAUGCUAUCUUCUCCACCAUAUUUGGUGGUAUACAUGGAGCAUUCAGCCACCUGGGGGAGAUACGUACACUUGGGAUGCUAAGGUCUAGAUUUGAAUCUGUGCCAAUAGCUUUCACCGAACGUCUUGUGCCUUUACCAAAAGAUGAAAUGAAAAGUGAAAACCAGGGUAUCUUCUCUAGAAUUCUGGAAUGUCUUGUGCCUUCAUCAAAAGACAAAAUGAAAAAUGAAAACCAGCAUGAUGAACGAAAGAACAUUGCAAAAUUCUCUCAGCUGUGGAAUGAAUUCAUCAAUUCUUUGCGACAGGAGGACUUAAUCAGUAAUAGGGAGAAAAGCCUGCUUCUUGUGCCAUAUGCUUCAGGUUUUGUAUCUGUUGUCCAAUGGCCACCUUUUCUUCUUGCCAGUAAGAUACCUAUUGCAUUGAAUAUGGCAAAAGAUUUCAAGGGGAAGGAUGAUGCAGAUCUGUUUAAAAAGAUUAAGAAUGAUGAUUACAUGCUUUCGGCAGUGAUAGAAUGUUAUGAAACACUAAAGGAUAUACUACUUGGUCUUAUGAAUGAUGAUGCAGAAAAAAAAUUGAUUCGUGACAUAUGUGAGCACGUGGAUGUUAGCAUAAAGAAGAAAAUUUUCUUGAACCACUUCCGAAUGAGUGGGCUGCCUCUGCUUAAUGAAAAGUUGGAAAAAUUGCUAAACCUUUUGAAAGAAAAAGAUAUUGAGCUAUACCGGACCCAAAUCAUCAAUGUCCUUCAAGAUAUUAUGGAGAUCAUUGCUGAGGAUAUUAUGGUUAAUGGACCCGAUAUUACUUCAAAAUAUAAUCAACAUGGAGGUGACGGUCAAGAUGAAAUAUUGGAGGAGAAAUCCGAAAAUAUAAACCUCAGUGAAAAAAUGGAGCAGAAAUUUGAAAAAAUAAACCUCAGUCGUAUGCAAAGUAGAGAUUGGAUGGAGAAGGUUGUUAGGCUUCAUUUGCUUUUGACUGUAAAGGAAUCAGCAAUAAAUGUUCCCACGAAUUUGGAAGCUCGACGCCGAAUAACUUUCUUUACCAAUUCCUUAUUUAUGAAAAUGCCAAGUGCUCCAAAAGUCCGUGAAAUGCUUUCUUUCAGUGUCCUGACUCCAUAUUUCAAAGAAGAUGUUCUCUAUUCUGUGGAAGAACUUAGAAAGGAAAAUGAGGAUGGAAUAUCAACUUUAUUUUACCUACAGAAAAUAUAUCCUGAUGAAUGGAACAAUUUUAUGGAACGUAUAAAGGAUCCAAUUUAUGCUGGAAAAGAGAAGUCAGAAUUGGUUCGUCUCUGGGUAUCUCACAGAGGGCAAACUCUUUCUAGGACAGUGAGAGGGAUGAUGUACUAUAGGCAAGCACUAGAACUCCAAUGCUUUCUUGAGAUGGCAGAAGAUGAAGCUAUUUUUUCGGGUUACCGGACAAUUGAUAUGAAUAACAAUCAUGCUGAGGCUGUUGCUGCCCGUUCACAGGCUGUGGCUGAUAUGAAGUUCACUUAUGUUGUUUCUUGUCAGGUUUAUGGUAUGCAGAAAAAAUCCGGUGAUGCUCGAGACAAGAAUUCUUCUCAGAACAUUUUGAAUCUCAUGCAACAGUAUCCAUCAUUACGUGUUGCUUACAUUGAUGAGGGAGAGGAUACAGUGAACGGAAAAUCUGAAAAGGUUUAUUAUUCUGUGCUUCUCAAGGGAGCAGAUGAGGAAAUUUAUCGAAUCAAGCUCCCAGGUCCUCCAACAGAUAUUGGUGAAGGAAAACCAGAAAAUCAAAAUCAUGCCAUAAUUUUCACUCGUGGGGAAGCACUUCAGACCAUAGACAUGAAUCAGGAUAAUUACCUUGAGGAAGCCUUCAAGAUGAGAAAUGUUCUACAAGAGUUAGUAAAAUUACGUCGUAGACAACGGAAACCUACAAUCUUGGGUCUUAGGGAGCACAUUUUUACUGGAAGUGUUUCAUCCCUCGCUUGGUUCAUGUCCAAUCAGGAGACAAGCUUUGUAACUAUUGGGCAAAGGAUUUUAGCAAAUCCUCUUAGGGUGAGGUUCCAUUAUGGUCAUCCUGAUAUAUUUGACAGAAUUUUUCACCUGACAAGAGGUGGAAUAAGCAAAGCUUCAAAAGGAAUUAAUUUAAGCGAGGAUAUAUUUUCAGGAUUUAAUUCAACUCUUCGUGGGGGGUAUGUUACUCAUCACGAGUAUAUCCAAGUCGGAAAGGGUCGUGAUGUAGGAAUGAAUCAAAUAUCACUUUUUGAGGCUAAGGUGGCAAAUGGAAAUGGAGAACAGACAAUGAGCCGUGAAGUUUAUCGACUAGGACGUCGAUUUGACUUUUAUAGAAUGCUAUCAUUCUACUUUACCACAGUUGGUUUCUACUUUAGUAGCAUGGUUACUGUGCUUACUGUAUAUGUAUUCCUGUAUGGGCGUUUAUAUAUGGUACUCAGUGGUUUGGAAAAGAAUAUUCUUUUGAAUCCAACUGUCCAGCAAAGUAAAUCUCUUGAAGCUGCAUUGGCUACGCAGUCUGUCUUCCAGCUUGGCCUGCUGCUGGUGCUGCCCAUGGUGAUGGAAAUUGGCCUAGAAAGAGGGUUCCGAACUGCAUUGGGUGAUUUUAUAAUUAUGCAGCUUCAGCUGGCCUCUGUGUUCUUUACCUUCCAGCUUGGAACAAAAGCACAUUAUUAUGGGAGGACACUACUGCAUGGAGGUUCAAAAUAUAGAGCUACUGGUCGCGGGUUUGUUGUCUUUCAUGCCAAGUUUGCUGAUAACUAUAGGCUAUAUUCUCGUAGUCACUUUGUAAAGGGGUUGGAACUGACGAUUUUGCUGGUAGUGUAUGAAGUCUAUGGGAAGUCAUAUCGUAUUUCAAGUCAAUACUGGUUUGUUACUUACUCCAUUUGGUUCUUGGUUGCCUCAUGGUUAUUUGCUCCUUUUGUUUUCAAUCCUUCUGGGUUUGAGUGGCAAAAGACUGUAGAUGACUGGACUGACUGGAAAAGGUGGAUGGGCAAUCGUGGUGGUAUUGGGAUCCCACAAGAUAGAAGUUGGGAAUCCUGGUGGGAUGGAGAGCAGGAUCAUUUAAAACACACAGAUAUCCGUGGGCGAGUGCUUGAAAUACUACUGGCAUGUCGGUUCUUGAUCUACCAAUAUGGCAUUGUCUACCAUCUUAAUAUAUCCCAUCGUAGCCAGAGUCUUUUGGUGUAUGGACUUUCUUGGUUGGUAAUGGUUACUGUUCUGGUGGUUUUAAAGAUGGUAUCAAUGGGUAGACGAAGAUUUGGUACCGACUUUCAGCUCAUGUUCAGAAUCCUCAAGUUGCUUCUCUUCCUUGGCUUCGUGUCUGUCAUGACCGUCUUAUUUGUAGUCUGUAGCCUCACAAUUUCUGAUGUAUUUGCUGGAAUUCUUGGAUUUAUGCCCACUGGGUGGUCACUUCUACUUAUUGGGCAAGCAUGCAGACCCUGCAUGAAGGGAGUUGGUUUCUGGGAUUCAAUAAAGGAGCUAGCAAGAGCAUACGAAUAUGUGAUGGGGAUCAUAGUCUUCAUGCCAAUAGUCGUUUUAUCAUGGUUCCCAUUUGUUUCAGAGUUCCAGACACGUUUACUCUUUAACCAAGCAUUCAGUAGAGGUCUGCAGAUAUCUAUGAUUCUUGCAGGGAGGAAAGAUGAAGCAUCCACGGAGCUAAGUGACAUUAAUGCAGAAAUCAAUGACAGUCUUAGUAAGGCGGUGGCUCACAAGGAAACAUCCAAAUGAGAUUCAGUCUUAUUGAUGUACAUUCAUUUCAGUCUCCUUAGAGUGGUUUCAUAUUCUUUGCAAGCGCAGGCGACAUCACAUGUUAUUUUCGGAUCAUUGACUCAAGGGAUACAUCUUACGUGAAGCUAGUUCCUCGUACAGCAGUUGGGCCUUGGAAAGAGUUGUGGAGCAUCAAUGAUCGAUUUACCAGUUACCACCACGGAUUCUCACAUUUCUUUGGACAUGCUUAAAUCAUUGUUUACCAAACAGUGCUAACAUGAUGGCAAGGCAUAAUCCCAAUAGGGAGGGUCCGAGGCUGGCCAUUGAAGAAGGAAUCAAAUUAAUUUGGUUAGAGGGAGAUGCACAAUAGAUUAUUAAUUUCUUGUUGGACCAAUCCUUAGAGAUCCCUUGGCGGCUACAUCAUGUUUUGGCCGAUUGCAGGAACCUGUUGCAUGAUUUUGAUCAAUAUCGCAUCUCCUUCAUUCAUCGUACGAGUAAUGUUGUGGCUCAUUGUUUGGCCAAACAUGCCUGUUCUAUUUGAAUGUUUCUCCUUCAUUUCCUUUACCUGU
RNA transcript from Nelumbo nucifera (sacred lotus), 7046 nucleotides. It is a transcript of the gene named putative callose synthase 6, with no coding region annotated. The record is from RefSeq and is a predicted model, not a curated record. Lineage: Eukaryota; Viridiplantae; Streptophyta; Magnoliopsida; Proteales; Nelumbonaceae.